Molecule: ribosomal RNA, 470 nt
Filed under: Streptococcus mutans
Lineage: Bacteria; Bacillati; Bacillota; Bacilli; Lactobacillales; Streptococcaceae
Description: bacterial SSU rRNA
Rfam family: Bacterial small subunit ribosomal RNA
Source: RNAcentral
GACGAACGCUGGCGACGUGCCUAAUACAUGCAAGUGGGACGCAAGGGAACACACUGUGCUUGCACACCGUGUUUUCUUGAGUCGCGAACGGGUGAGUAACGCGUAGGUAACCUGCCUAUUAGCGGGGGAUAACUAUUGGAAACGAUAGCUAAUACCGCAUAAUAUUAAUUAUUGCAUGAUAAUUGAUUGAAAGAUGCAAGCGCAUCACUAGUAGAUGGACCUGCGUUGUAUUAGCUAGUUGGUAAGGUAAGAGCUUACCAAGGCGACGAUACAUAGCCGACCUGAGAGGGUGAUCGGCCACACUGGGACUGAGACACGGCCCAGACUCCUACGGGAGGCAGCAGUAGGGAAUCUUCGGCAAUGGACGAAAGUCUGACCGAGCAACGCCGCGUGAGUGAAGAAGGUUUUCGGAUCGUAAAGCUCUGUUGUAAGUCAAGAACGUGUGUGAGAGUGGAAAGUUCACACAGGAC